RNAcentral lists this ribosomal RNA (301 nucleotides) under uncultured bacterium. RNAcentral describes it as "partial 16S ribosomal RNA". It matches the Rfam family "Bacterial small subunit ribosomal RNA", at positions 509 to 809 of the family's 1533-position model. The record is from RNAcentral.
CAGUAGCCACGGGAACACGGAGGGUGCAAGCGUUAAUCGGAAUUACUGGGCGUAAAGCGCACGCAGGCGGUCUGACAAGUCAGAUGUGAAAUCCCCGGGCUUAACCUGGGAACUGCAUUUGAAACUGUCAGGCUGGAGUCUUGUAGAGGGGGGUGGAAUUCCAGGUGUAGCGGUGAAAUGCGUAGAGAUCUGGAGGAAUACCGGUGGCGAAGGCGGCCCCCUGGACAAAGACUGACGCUCAGGUGCGAAAGCGUGGGGAGCAAACAGGAUUAGAUACCCCUGUAGUCCCUGUCUCUUAUAA